UUUGUAUUUUCCACCUGUUUUUGUAAUUUUAUAUAGUCAUUGUGUGAACUUAUUGUGUUGAGUAAUUCAUUCUUGAAGCCAAGAACAAGAUGCCUCUGUUUGGGUCUUUUCUUAAACAGGAACACUACUAUGAUCCUUUAGGGUAAUACUGGCUUCAUUGCAUGGAGGAUCAAGACAGUUCAACAUAACACCUGUGCUAGCUCCCGGUGUCAUUCCAAGACUGUUCUUCAGGACGGUCCAAAAAACAGACAAGAAUCUCUGUUAACUUGUCAACAGCGAUUUGGUGAGGAGUGCAGGGAGGCGAUAUCUACAAUACGAUAUUUCACUGAUGAGAAGAUGAGUGACUUUCCAGUAUUGACAGAAGAUGGUCGGUGAGGAUGCAUCAUCUUCUGUCCUGGAUUUGUUCACUUGUUUCCUUGUUGUAUCUGGAUUGAUCGACCACGAUUUCUCCAUGAUGUUUGGUCACGAAGUGUCUCAGAAUUUCCUGGCAAAGUGGUCAACAUUCUUCAAGCCAAACAUUUGCAGACUGCAAAACUCUUAAGAAUAUGGGCGAGCUGCUUUCAGGAACUGAACCUGAAUCUGAGGACUAAAAUGCGAUAUGUCCUCAAUCCUUUUGCAGCUGCAUCUGCUCCCUCCAACCUCAAGAGGCCAGGAAAAAAAACAUCCAAGAUCAGUUCAGCUCAAGCAACCAGCCAUCUUGUGAGCUAUCUUAAGGAAGGAGCCAGUGUGAAUACCUUCAUUGAGAGUGCUGACACAAGACAACCAUUUCUCCUCUGCAUCGGUGAGCGAAAGAAGGAUAUCCCAAAGUUCUACAUUAUUAUCGACCAAAAGGCGAUCCCAUGUAAGGCGUACACAUCAGUGGCAGCUUUUGAUGAACUGUUCAAAGCUCACUAUGUCUUCAGUUUCUCAUAUGGUGAAGCUCUUUGUGAUUUCUACACAUUUAUCCAAACCACUAUAUAUAACAUCGAUGUCGGAAGAGCAAUGGAGAGCCUGCGUGUUAAAGAACUUCGAGCAUGAUUGCUGCAGCGAGAUUAACUGCCUUGAAGAUGUUCACAUGUUUUGAAUGUAAAGCACACCUCAGAACUUGUUUGGUUCUUCGUCAACAUUUAAAAUUUCAACAUGGUUUAUAUCCUAGCAAAAAGUUACAUUUAAAAUGUGGAGAGCCAGGUCACCUGUUAUCAUUUUGUACUUAUAGUGGCUUCCGAAAACACCCCAGCAAGGUACAUAGUCACACUAUGGAUCAGGAGAUUGAUACUAAUCAGGAUCUUUCCACUCAGGGAGAAUAUGAGGCGGAAUGUUCAAAUGAUCGCCCAAGUUUACAAAGUUGGAGUUUACAAAGACAUUAAUGAUGGGUCGUGUUUCCAAAACCAUGCACUGUUCUCACAGCAAAAGCACGCUUUUCAGAUUCUACUCUAUCACAACGAUUUUGAAACUGCUAACCAUCUAGGUUCCAAGAGGGGGAUCCACAAACUUGGUUGAAUCUAUUUUACUCAAAAAAAAAAUAUUCCACCCAAGUGUAACUCUGUACUGAUUAAUGUACAUCUUGCAGCUUGAUUCUACAUGGAAGAUCUUAAGACAUACGGUUUUGAUGUGAUACUAAAGCCCCUUAUUGAUGACCUGAAAAUCUAAGAAACCGAAGGCAUACAGCUUCCUUGUUUUGAACAACCGGCUCAGUAAUUCAAGUAACAGGAGAUAAUUUGGCUUUAAAUGGCUUGCUGGGAAUCUUACAGUGCAACUAAUUUCUGUAGGCUUUGUUUAAUUAGUAAGGAAGGAGUUCAAUCUAUAUUUACUGAAGAUCAUCCUGGGUUAAUUUUUCGUUCCAAAGAGGUUCAUACUGAACAUUGUAAGGCACUAAAUGAAAAUCCUGAACUGCGGUCAAUAUAUGGUGUCAAAAAGUCAUGUGCGCUCAAUUCUUUAGAGUAUUUCCAUUGUACUGAAAACUAUGCUGUUGACAUCAUGCAUGAUCUGCUAGAGGAUGUGGUACAGUAUGAACUUAAACUGAUUUUUGAGUACCUUGUUAAACAGCUUUAAUUAUGGUUACACAGACCGUAAAAACAAACCAAGUCGGUUAAAAAUUGAUGAUAUGGGCAAACACCUGGGUUUGAAUGCCAUACAGUCAUGGUGUCUUCUGCACAACACUCCAUUGAUAUUUGGUGGUCAUUGAAAGGAAUAACAAUCACUGGAACUUUCUCCUACUUUUGAUGCAGAUUGUCAAUAUAGUGUUUUCCUACACCAUAACUGAUGGGAUGAUAUGUUACUUAAAACAUCUGAUCUGUGAUCACCAUACUCUAUUCAAAGAAUUGAUUCCUGACAAGACGUCGAUUCCCAAGCACCACUUGAUGAUGCACUAUCUGAGAUGCAUUAAAAAAAAUGGCCCUCUUAUCCAUAUGUGGUGAAUGCGAUUUGAAGCUAAGCACCAUAUUUUCAAAAGAUGUGGCAAAAAUUUCAAGAAUCUCAUUAAAUCAUUAGUAAAGCAACAUCAACGUCAAUUGGCAUUUAACUGUGAAAAUGAUUGUUUUAGAAGGUUUGAAUUUGGUCCUACAUCAAAAACCAUCUGUAACUUGCAAGGUGGGGAAGAACUCAGUCAGACAUUAUAUUUAGAAGCCUGUUUGAGUGUUACAAGUACAAAGUGGGUCAGACAUUAUGGUACUGAGUAUCAGGUUGGUGUGUUCAUAUGCACUGGAUGUACCUAUGAUCUCCCUGUGUUCAAAAAGAUCUGUGAGAUAAUAAUAUAUGAAGAGAGUGCUUUCAUUAUUUCCUGCAAUGUAAAAACGAUGUACUAUGAUGACCACUUCAAUGCAUACUGUAUAGAAGAUAACCAAAUGGAUGAGUUUUCUGUCAUCUCUGUGAACGAACUGACACACUUUAGGCCAUUUGAUCAGCAGUGCUCUAAUGAGAAUAAUCAAAGAGAGUACAUAGUGCCCAAUUGUUAUAUUUAGAAAGCCUUGACCUGAGGGGUCAGUAAUGUUAACGCCCUUGAAAAAAAGAAAACUAUUAUAAAGCAACCAACUGUUUUUUUUUUCUUUA
Ictalurus punctatus (channel catfish) is the source of this 3027-nucleotide long non-coding RNA. RefSeq lists it as uncharacterized. The transcript has 4 exons. The record is from RefSeq and is a predicted model, not a curated record. NCBI's taxonomy places the organism in Eukaryota, Metazoa, Chordata, Actinopteri, Siluriformes, Ictaluridae.